UACGGGAGGCAGCAGUGGGGAAUAUUGCACAAUGGGCGAAAGCCUGAUGCAGCUAUGCCGCGUGUAUGAAGAAGGCCUUAGGGUUGUAAAGUACUUUCAUCGGGGAGGAAAAACAAAACUAAUAAUUUUAUUUCUUGACGUUACCUGAAAAAGAAGCACCGGCUAACUCCGUGCCAGCAGCCGCGGUAAUACGGAGGGUGCUAGCGUUAAUCAGAAUUACUGGGCGUAAAGAGCACGUAGGUGGUUUUUUUAAGUUCAGAUGUGAAAUCCCUGGGCUUAACCUAGGAACUGCAUUUUGAAACUGAAAUACUAGAGUAUCGUAGAGGGAGGUAGAAUUCUAGGUGUAGCGGUGAAAUGCGUAGAUAUCUGGAGGAAUACCUGUGGCGAAAGCGGCCUCCUAAACGAAUACUGACACUGAGGUGCGAAAGCGUGGGGAGCAAACAGGGAUUAGAUACC
This 456-nucleotide ribosomal RNA is filed under the name uncultured bacterium. Its description in RNAcentral is "bacterial SSU rRNA". It matches the Rfam family "Bacterial small subunit ribosomal RNA", at positions 340 to 786 of the family's 1533-position model. The record is from RNAcentral.